RNAcentral lists this ribosomal RNA (512 nucleotides) under uncultured bacterium. Its description in RNAcentral is "partial 16S ribosomal RNA". It matches the Rfam family "Bacterial small subunit ribosomal RNA", at positions 28 to 507 of the family's 1533-position model. The record is from RNAcentral.
GAUGAACGCUGGCGGCGUGCCUAAUACAUGCAAGUCGAACGAAACUUCUUUAUCACCGAGUGCUUGCACUCACCGAUAAAGAGUUGAGUGGCGAACGGGUGAGUAACACGUGGGCAACCUGCCCAAAAGAGGGGGAUAACACUUGGAAACAGGUGCUAAUACCGCAUAACCAUAGUUACCGCAUGGUAACUAUGUAAAAGGUGGCUAUACUACCGCUUUUGGAUGGGCCCGCGGCGCAUUAGCUAGUUGGUAGGGUAAAGGCUUACCAAGGCAAUGAUGCGUAGCCGAAUUGAGAGGUUGAUCGGCCACAUUGGGACUGAGACACGGCCCAAACUCCUAAGGGAGGCAGCAGUAGGGAAUCUUCCACAAUGGGCGAAAGCCUGAUGGAGCAACGCCGCGUGGGUGAAGAAGGUCUUCGGAUCGUAAAACCCUGUUGUUAGAGAAGAAAGUGCGUGCGAGUAACUGUUCACGUUUCGACGGUAUCUAACCAGAAAGCCACGGCUAACUACGUG